Molecule: ribosomal RNA, 468 nt
Filed under: uncultured bacterium
Lineage: Bacteria
Description: partial 16S ribosomal RNA
Rfam family: Bacterial small subunit ribosomal RNA
Source: RNAcentral
GACGAACGCUGGCGGCGUGCUUAAUACAUGCAAGUCGAACGGAAAGGCCCUGCUUUUGUGGGGUGCUCGAUUGGCGAACGGGUGAGUAUCACGCGAGUAAACUGUCCUUGACUUUGGGAUAUCUUCAGGAAACUGGGGCUAAUAUCGGAUAGGAGCUCCUGCUGCACGGUGGGGGUUGGAAAGUUUCGGCGGUUGGGGCUGGUCUCGCGGGUUAUCAGCUUGUUUGUGGGGUAGUUGCUUACCAAGGCUUUGACGGGUAGCCGGCCUUGGAGGGGGAACGGCCUCAAGAGGACUGAGAGACGCCGCAGUCUCCUACGGGACGCAGCGGUGGAGAGUAUUGCACAGCGAGCGGAAGCCUGAUGCAGCGGCGCCGGGUGCGUGAUGCCGGCCUUUGAGUGGUAAACCGCUGUCGCCGGUGACGAAGCGUGAUUGACGGUAAUGGGUAAGGAAGCACCGGCUAACUACGUG